Long non-coding RNA from Sinocyclocheilus rhinocerous, 237 nucleotides. RefSeq lists it as uncharacterized. The record is from RefSeq and is a predicted model, not a curated record. The transcript is spliced from 3 exons. NCBI's taxonomy places the organism in Eukaryota, Metazoa, Chordata, Actinopteri, Cypriniformes, Cyprinidae.
AAAACCUGCUCAAUGCUUUAAAUUCCCACAAAGACAGGUUUGUUUCGGGGAAGGAAAUAAAGAAGAAGAAGUGUCUCUUCGGUCUUCAAGUUCGGGCUCCUCCCCCUCUGUCAUCGGACCUAUCACCUUUCAUCGCCGAACAGCCAAUCAGCAUCACCCACAGGAGAAGCCCCAUGUCACUGCCCUGCCAGCGGAGAGCGGUGGGUCCGGAGGCCCGUAAAUCAAAGCGCCGGGUCA